This 201-nucleotide ribosomal RNA is filed under the name Corallococcus exiguus. RNAcentral's name for it is "partial 16S ribosomal RNA". It matches the Rfam family "Bacterial small subunit ribosomal RNA", at positions 1 to 193 of the family's 1533-position model. The record is from RNAcentral. Lineage: Bacteria; Pseudomonadati; Myxococcota; Myxococcia; Myxococcales; Myxococcaceae.
UUUAAGUGAAGAGUUUGAUCCUGGCUCAGAGUGAACGCUGGCGGUAGGCCUAACACAUGCAAGUCGAACGGCAGCACAGGAGAGCUUGCUCUCUGGGUGGCGAGUGGCGGACGGGUGAGGAAUACAUCGGAAUCUACUCUGUCGUGGGGGAUAACGUAGGGAAACUUACGCUAAUACCGCAUACGACCUACGGGUGAAAGC